This 394-nucleotide ribosomal RNA is filed under the name uncultured bacterium. RNAcentral's name for it is "bacterial SSU rRNA". It matches the Rfam family "Bacterial small subunit ribosomal RNA", at positions 28 to 417 of the family's 1533-position model. The record is from RNAcentral.
GACGAACGCUGGCGGCGUGCUUAACACAUGCAAGUGGAGCGACGAACCAGGGCUUGCCCUGGGGCAGAGCCGCGAACGGGUGAGUAACACGUGGGUAACGUACCCCGAUGACUGGGACAACCCGGGGAAACCCGGGCUAAUACCGGAUGUGCACCCUCACAUCAGUGAGGUGUGUAAAGGAAGCUUCGGCCUCCGCGUUGGGAUCGGCCCGCGGCGCAUUAGCUUGUUGGUGAGGAACGGCUCACCAAGGCCGCGAUGCGUAGCUGGUCUGAGAGGACGAUCAGCCACACUGGGACUGAGACACGGCCCAGACUCCUACGGGAGGCAGCAGUGGGGAAUCUUGCGCAAUGGGCGAAAGCCUGACGCAGCGACGCCGCGUGAGGGAUGACGGCCU